GUUAUGGAGAGCCUCUGUU
RNAcentral lists this microRNA (19 nucleotides) under Gadus morhua (Atlantic cod). RNAcentral's name for it is "gmo-miR-11234-3p". The record is from miRBase by way of RNAcentral. Lineage: Eukaryota; Metazoa; Chordata; Actinopteri; Gadiformes; Gadidae.